This 324-nucleotide ribosomal RNA is filed under the name uncultured eukaryote. RNAcentral's name for it is "partial 18S ribosomal RNA". It matches the Rfam family "Eukaryotic small subunit ribosomal RNA", at positions 1470 to 1796 of the family's 1831-position model. The record is from RNAcentral.
CCCUUAGAUGUUCUGAACCGCACGCGUGUUACACUGAUGCAUUCAACGAGCUUUACCUUGGCCGAGAGGCCUGGGAAAUCUUUUUAGCAUGCAUCGUGAUAGGGAUUGAUUAUUGCAAUUAUUAAUCAUGAACGAGGAAUUCCUAGUAAACGCAUUUCAUCAAAAUGCAUUGAUUACGUCCCUGCCCUUUGUACACACCGCCCGUCGCACCUACCGAUUGAGUGGUCCGGUGAAGUCUCGAGAUUGUGGCAAUCUCCUUUAUUGGAGUUUGACUGCGAGAACUUGCCUAAACCUUAUCACUUAGAGGAAGGUGAAGGCGUAACA